GGUGAUUUCUCUCAGCGCACAGCCAUAUUUUAUUGGGGAGAGGAGAGCGAACUUCAAGUUUCCAAGUGUGUCCAAGAAUGCACUUUUAGGACAAUCUUCCGUUGUUUGGUAGCACCUUGUUUGCCUGGCAUCUUAAGGGAGUGUUAAGAGGAAGCUUUCACCUUUAUCUCUGUAUCUGAACUCAUCCUCCUUUCAAGGAAGAAGGAGUAGUAGCUCAUCUGACCUGAGAGAACAGUUCACCCUUUUGGAAGGUGGAGGUAAUUUCCCGCAAAAGCAGGCUCCACCCCAGCCUCUGUCUUUGAAAACCUGCUGCCUCCUCCAGUUCUAACAGAAGGACCCCACUCUCCGCUACUUCCUGCUUCUGAGAUAGUUUAAAGUUUUUGGAAAGCUCCAUGCUUAGCUGGUUCCUGACCCAAGGAAGAUUUGGGUUCUGCUUCGGUUAUGGAUGAAAGAGAAAGACAUGGAGAGCUGACACUCCUGGGGAGUCCAGAUAAGAAAAAUACCAAGGAAGAGCCUAAUCUGGUUUUACUUUGUUCAAAGUAAAAGUCUCAAGAUCUGUGACAUAUAUAUCACCCUAAAACCAAAUUGAAAUAAACGUUACCUAC
Long non-coding RNA from Zalophus californianus (California sea lion), 605 nucleotides. RefSeq lists it as uncharacterized. Lineage: Eukaryota; Metazoa; Chordata; Mammalia; Carnivora; Otariidae. The transcript has 3 exons. The record is from RefSeq and is a predicted model, not a curated record.